RNAcentral lists this ribosomal RNA (119 nucleotides) under Olea europaea subsp. europaea. Lineage: Eukaryota; Viridiplantae; Streptophyta; Magnoliopsida; Lamiales; Oleaceae. The record is from RNAcentral.
UGGUGCGACCAUACCAGCACUAACGCACCGGAUCCCAUCAGAACUCCAAAUUUAAGUGUGCUUUGGCGAGAGUAGAACUAGGAUGGGUGACCCCCUGGGAAGUCCUCGUGGUCCAACCC